RNAcentral lists this ribosomal RNA (500 nucleotides) under uncultured bacterium. Its description in RNAcentral is "bacterial SSU rRNA". It matches the Rfam family "Bacterial small subunit ribosomal RNA", at positions 198 to 717 of the family's 1533-position model. The record is from RNAcentral.
CAGAUAAAGAUUUAUCGCUUUGAGAGGGCCCGCGGCCGAUUAGCUAGUGGUAAGGUAAAGGACUUACCAAGGCGAUUAUCGGUAGCUGGUCUGAGAGGACGAUCAGCCACACGGGAACUGAGACACGGUCCCGACUCCUACGGGGGGCAGCAGUGAGGAAUAUUGGGCAAUGGGCGAAAGCCUGACCCAGCAACGCCGCGUGGAGGAUGAAGGCUUUAGGGUUGUAAACUCCUUUUGUGGGGGAAAAGAAUGGAUGGUACCCCAAGAAUAAGUCACGGCUAACUACGUGCCAGCAGCCGCGGUAAUACGUAGGUGACAAGCGUUAUCCGGAAUUACUGGGCGUAAAGCGCACGCAGGCGGUCAGAUAAGUCUGAUGUGAAACCUUCUGGCUUAACCAGAAGACGUCGUUGGAUACUGUUUGACUUGAGGCGAUGAGAGGAAUGCGGAAUCCCCCGGUGUAAUGGUGGAAUAUGUAGAUAUCGGGGGGAACAUCUGAGGCG